Molecule: long non-coding RNA, 781 nt
Organism: Solanum dulcamara
Lineage: Eukaryota; Viridiplantae; Streptophyta; Magnoliopsida; Solanales; Solanaceae
Exons: 4
Source: RefSeq, a predicted model, not a curated record
AAAUAAGAACACUUGUCACUGAUAAAUCUUUCAUCCAUUGAAGAAAAAAAAAAAACUCCAAAGAGUAGUAGAAAAAGAAGCAAAAGGAGAGAAAGAGAGAAGUAAACCCUAGUUUUGCCCCCCCACCCACCCAUCGGAAAUCACCACCACUGUAGCUCGCCGGCUGCUUUUCCGGUCAGGCGGUGUAUCUGUCUGCGCAAAUUCUGCCUGUUGUGUUGUGCUACUUCACGGAAUCUCAAAAGAUGACAAAGGGAGCGGCGAUGUCGUCUUCUGCCGUGUCGGUUCGUGAUAAUGCAAUCAAUUUGGAAGUUUGUGAAAUAAUGAUCCGUUCAGAAGGUGAAUCUCUCAAUAAGUUGGAUGAUGAUGCACUCAUUCAAAUUCUUUGCUGUUUACCCCUUAAAGAUGCGGCAAGAACGAGUGUCCUCUCACGUAGAUGGAGGUACUUAUGGCGCCGUUCACUCAUGUACCCGUUGAAUCCUAUGUAAAUUUCCAUCAAGACUGAAUGCAAGUACUGUGACCAGUAAAUGAAUCUUGAAAUGAUGUUUAUAGAACAAAAGUUGUGAAGAUCAUAGAAAAGGAUGUAAAGAAAAUCAAAGAGAAGGCAGAGGAAGAUAGUAAAGUUACCUUUAGCUAAGACAUUUUGGAUACUUUUUGCUGUGUUUUGGUUCAUAGCAAAGAUGUUCUUUUUUCUUUUCUUCACCCCACCCCCACCCCCUUUAAACUUAAUGUGACAUUUUGGUGUAUGGAAUUGCAUGAAAUAUAAUCAGAAGUGUUCAUCCAA